Molecule: long non-coding RNA, 1206 nt
Organism: Megalobrama amblycephala (Wuchang bream)
Lineage: Eukaryota; Metazoa; Chordata; Actinopteri; Cypriniformes; Xenocyprididae
Exons: 2
Source: RefSeq, a predicted model, not a curated record
AGAGAGAGAGAGAGAGAGAGAGAGAGAGAGAGAGAGAGAGAGUGUGAUCAGUGCUCAUGCAGGAUUGCUAAGAAAAUCAUCUCUUGUCUUUUUUCUACCAUUAUGGCAUUUCUUGUCAGCUGCCAUUCUGGAAUGAGCUUCAUAACUGAAUGUCUUGAUUGCACUUUGAAACAGCCAAGUAUUCUUGAGUCACACGGAUCUCUGAAAAGUGGUUCCGUUUUUUCAAAAAGUUUGCACAACAGCAUCUGGGAACCUGAAUCAUCCAAUUCUUCUCUCUCUUCGAUGGCCUCGCAACAAUGUCCUUCAGCAAGAAUGAAGGCAUUGUUAGGCCUUUUGAUUUUGGACAUGGAAGCCUCCACAGACAGUGGGGAAUUCGACAUUUCCCCCAGCCGUUUGACCACUUGACUCUUUACAGUAGCUGUUGUGGUCCACUGCCAGAGUAGGGCAGAGCAGAAGACCCAAGGCAACACUGAACGCCAUGAAAUGUUCAUACAACUGGUCCGCUAGAAUUCCCUUCAGCACAAUCUAGCCAGUGUAUACAGCAAACUGACGCAGUUCUGUUGCCUUCCACCUGUCGAUGUCUUCUAGGUUCCUUGGUUUUCGGGCAAAACAGCUUGGAAUGACUUCCCUAAGUGACAGCAGCCUUUGAGUCACUUCAUUUAUUUGCCCAGCAGACAUUGUCACCUUUCUGUCUCCUCUAACCCAAUCUGUGAUGAGCUUUUUCAUCACACCCAGGCAGGCUUGGUGCAUGUAGUCGAUUGGAAAUUGCUCUACCAUGUCCAGUGGGAGGUUCAAAAAUGGAGACAUUGGAAUGUCUUCAUUCUCCUGACGUCGUGUCAUUUCAGCACGGUAUGUGGCAUUGGUCUGUAGACUUUUUUUUACCAUGGCUCUUGCAGGUGCGUCACACACAACACAUCUGAUUUUUAUGUCUUUUCCAUCCAAACCAUUUUCAAGUAGUUCCUGAAUGUCUUUUAUGGCUUCUUCUGUAAAAUCCUGGUUUGGUGGGACCAAUUGUCAGUGUUACAGGGAAGACACUGAUGGGUGACAGGUGAAUGGCACAGAGGAUGGGCCAUGACGUCUUGUCAUGUGUCAUUGGUGCAUAGAGUGAGGUUGUUCACCUCUGGGUAAGUCACAUGCCCAGAAAGGAAGCACCAUAACAGCAUCAUAUAAUUAAUUACAAGUGACCAUCAGAUUUUUACAUCACUU